This 619-nucleotide ribosomal RNA is filed under the name uncultured bacterium. Its description in RNAcentral is "bacterial SSU rRNA". It matches the Rfam family "Bacterial small subunit ribosomal RNA", at positions 338 to 961 of the family's 1533-position model. The record is from RNAcentral.
CCUACGGGAGGCAGCAGUGGGGAAUUUUGGACAAUGGGCGCAAGCCUGAUCCAGCAAUGCCGCGUGAGUGAAGAAGGCCUUCGGGUUGUAAAGCUCUUUUGUCAGGGAAGAAACGGUGGGGGCUAAUAUCUCCUACUAAUGACGGUACCUGAAGAAUAAGCACCGGCUAACUACGUGCCAGCAGCCGCGGUAAUACGUAGGGUGCAAGCGUUAAUCGGAAUUACUGGGCGUAAAGCGUGCGCAGGCGGUUUUGUAAGUCUGUCGUGAAAGCCCCGGGCUCAACCUGGGAAUUGCGAUGGAGACUGCAAGGCUUGAAUCUGGCAGAGGGGGGUAGAAUUCCACGUGUAGCAGUGAAAUGCGUAGAGAUGUGGAGGAACACCGGAUGGCGAAGGCAGCCCCCUGGGUCAAGAUUGACGCUCAUGCACGAAAGCGUGGGGAGCAAACAGGAUUAGAUACCCUGGUAGUCCACGCCCUAAACGAUGUCUACUAGUUNUCGGGUUUUAAUUAACUUGUAACGCAGCUAACGCGUGAGUAGACCGCCUGGGGAGUACGGUCGCGAAGUAGUAAACUUACGAAGUAAGUUAGAGNGNGNGAGNGCGAGGACGACGACGAGGAGAGG